Long non-coding RNA from Equus caballus (horse), 1155 nucleotides. Lineage: Eukaryota; Metazoa; Chordata; Mammalia; Perissodactyla; Equidae. The record is from Ensembl.
CUGUAUGUGUGUUUGCCAAGAGACAGAAUAUCUAUGUAAGUAUACACGAAAGAAGCUGGUAAGAGUCAUUGACUCGGGGAGACCCGGAUAGCUCAGAACAAGUCCGACCAGACUACAUGCGACUCAGGACAACAAACAGCCUGCGUGCUGGUAUGACACGCUACCAAGAAGCUGAAGGGCCGAAUAUUCCACAGAUUUCAACAACUGGCAUUUAUUGCCAACAAAAGAAACUGACCCUAGCUAACCUGAGCACAAAAUAGAAUUUCUUCCAGGCAGAUGUGGUCGCUUACAUCAUCAAAAGGAACCAGAACAGCCAGGGCUCAGAGAACAGGGGCAGCCAGGUUAACUGGGGAGGAGACACAAAUGCGCCCUGUCGCUAAGGCUCUACUGUCAAAAUGAAUCAGCCGCGGACUAUUUCCAUCAGUGUAUCACUCCACUCAAGACUCAGGCACAGGGAGAGAGAGAGCCUGUGGUCCACCCUGGGUCACGUGCCCAUGCGCCGGCAGGGGAGAGGAAGGCUCCUUAAUUGAGUGCAUGCAAGGCUGCCUGCAGCGGGGGAGGAGAAGUUCCCCGCAGGAAAAUCAGAGUGCUGGGCUGGCGAAAUAACAGAUCCCCACUACAAUAACGGAAGGUCUCCUGUGCCCUCACAAAUGUCCUCCCUCGCCACAUUACAGUGAGUGGUUUCUGCUUACUCACUUAUUCCUCACACAGAACCCUCUGAAGCCGACGCUGAGCCACGGAGAACUGUCUCCCUAUCACCACGCACCAGAACUACUUCCAGCUUUGAUUUAUUGCACACAUCGCUUCUAUCUUACCAACCAGAACAUGAUAUAUAUGGAGAGAGCAGAGAAGUAUGGCAGGAGGAGAGAGAAUCAAAGGAUCACUAAACAGAACUUUCAAGACAGAGACCUCCGACGCUCUAUGUUAAGUAGUUUGUAUGCCUGUGAAUAAAAGCUCUCCCCACCCACCAAACUUGAAAAGGAUCUGCUUCACAUAAAGAAGAUCCUAUUUGAGCAGAAAUCAGUGUGGGUGUUGGGCGGGUAGGUGGGUUUGUAUUUGUUCGGGCACAGGGCUGAGGGGUGUCAGACUGACCUAUUCCAGGUGUGGAACAGCCGACUGGGCGGCCCUUAUCAGGGCUUAAGUUGCAGGUUGGCC